GCCUCUGUGGUGUAGUUGGUUAUCACGUAGGUCUCAUAUCACUGAUAUGACAUUGGAGCAGCAACUCCAUUGAUAUCCUAAGGCCGGGAGUUCGAUCCUCCCCGGGGGCA
The sequence is a transfer RNA, 110 nucleotides long. It matches the Rfam family "tRNA". From Rfam's summary of the family: Transfer RNA (tRNA) molecules are approximately 80 nucleotides in length. Their secondary structure includes four short double-helical elements and three loops (D, anti-codon, and T loops). Further hydrogen bonds mediate the characteristic L-shaped molecular structure. tRNAs have two regions of fundamental functional importance: the anti-codon, which is responsible for specific mRNA codon recognition, and the 3' end, to which the tRNAs corresponding amino acid is attached (by aminoacyl-tRNA synthetases). tRNAs cope with the degeneracy of the genetic code in two manners: having more than one tRNA (with a specific anti-codon) for a particular amino acid; and 'wobble' base-pairing, i.e. permitting non-standard base-pairing at the 3rd anti-codon position. The record is from Rfam.